GGCACCGAACAUGAAGGACAAAACAGAAGGCGUCGUGGCAAGCUGGACUCACCUUGGUCCUGAUAAUGACCUCGUUUGUGAGCUUGUCAAGGUGAAGGAGUGCGUGCCUCGCAAAGUGUUGUCAUUGCAAACGGGAUGCGUGUUUGUUAGCUGAACAUACCCGUUUAUGUGCCUCGAUAGCAUAGCUUUGACUUUGUGUGUUGCAUGCUGAAGCUAGGUUAGCAUUGCGUCACAGUGAUGUAGUGUUGCUUUUAUGGCUCGUGGAUUUCAUGGUUUUAAAGGGAACGGUGUUCCAGAGGAUGGACCCUGCUGUUUGCAUUUUAAACUGAUUCUUCGCUGCUGUCUGAACUGCUGAUUAGCACCGAGUUAACUCUUUGAGGAAAACGAGGAGCCUGUUGCCUUAGCAACAGAUGGACGAGACCAGCAAGUCAGAUGCACGAUGGAGGAUGAGGGGGUUUUGGAUUCAGCCAGAACCAUUGUGAAUGGAGAAAUAUACACAUCCAAACUUCAUCUGCGUUUUCCAUCGUGGAAAUGAACCACGCCGAAGUAAUGUGCGAGGCCGCUGCUGGAUGUGAAGCAGCAGCUGCUCCUUAAGGCCACGGGAAUGCGAGCGAGGGCACCGCAGGGAUGCCUUCUCACAAUUGAGACGCUUUCAAGUACAUUUCCGUGCAGCGAGUGGAAAGUGAAACUGGAUCUAUUGUUCACCUUUUCCUCACACAUUGUGCAAUAAAUCAUGCUGUCCGUGGAGAUCGUCGCGGAAACGUAAUGAUCAUUGAAUUUGAGCAGUCGCUCUGGUCUAUCGCGUUGUCUGUUGAGAGCCAAUCAAUAGAUGCAUUUGUCCGACACGCACUCGGCCGCUCUCAUUUUCCCACGCAAAGGGAACAUUUGGAAGUAUAUUUCAGUAGCAGGGGCGGUCGAGUAAUACAAACGUGCAGCGUAAAUACGGAGAAAAUAGUUGACAUGAAGGUGCGGAAAGUUGCACGGCUGUGCGGUGUUUUAUUGGAGUUUUGAAGAGGUUUCAGCAGCCCCAUGUCAAUCAAGUGAGUCUUGUGAAGCCAUCUUGUAGAAAAUGUUGCUUCUUCAAACGUGUCCACUUGGCAGCUUGGCUGGCAUGCUUUCAAAGUGGGGCAUUUGCUGCCUCCAAAUGCAAAAUCUGGCAGAAAGGUGACAUGAACCUCUUGACUCCCCGCUCUUUCUUCUCUCCUCUCUUGUUGUCAGCAAAAACUAUGUCAUCAGUAUUGUUAUAUUGUUAAAGAUGAUGCACGUUUGCAAGUAUAUGUUGCUUCAUAACUUAAAGGUUGUAGUGUUUCUGGAUACAUUUUAAGGUAGAUUCAUUUUCAUUUUGGAUCUUUCAUGCCUGUAAAAACGCUGUCAAGACUGUAAACUACGUCACCAUUAGUUAUUUGCCUACAUUUUGUACCGUUGGGUAAAGAUUUAAAAGAUUUUUCUGUUCAUCUUUUCAUUUUUUUUUUUUUUAUUUCAUUUUAAUAAAACAAUAUUUUCAGUAUGAAUGGUUUAAUUUUCAAAUUAAUAGGGAUCAAAUGAUAUGAAAACAAAUCAUGAUCAUUUUUCUGUCAUAUCACUUAGUCACUGAAGUGGCCGUCGUCGGGUGUGACAGAGGAGUUUAGCGUAGAGGUGGGAGUGCAUCAGGGAUCAGCUCCGAGCCCCUUCCUGUUUGCAAUGGUGACGGAUAGGCUGACCGAUGAGCUUCGACGAGAAUCCCUUAUGAACCAUGAUGUUCACAGAUGACAUUGUGAUUUGCAGUGAGAACAAGGAGUCGUCGGAGAGCAUUUAGAAAGGUGAAGUCGUGUGCUCGAAAGAAUAUGAAUGAUUAGCCCAAGACAGACAGAAUAUACAUGAAUACAUAAAUGGGUGAGGGGGAAGAGAUGGUGAGGGUGGAGGACUUGGGGUCAAUGGUGAGUGUGGAGAAAUGUGUCCAAGCAGGUUGGAACUGGUGGCGGAAGGUGACAGAAGAGUCUCUGCUAGGAUGAAGGGCAAAGUUCAGAGGACAGCGGUGAGGCCGGCCAUGAUGGACGCAUUAGAGACAGCAGGAAGCCGAGCAAAUCAAGAUGUUGGAGAGGAUUAGAAAUGAGCUCAUCAGAGGGUCGGCCGAUGUUCGAUGUUUUGGAGACGAAGUUGGAGAAAGCAGAGAUGGCGAGUA
Long non-coding RNA from Phyllopteryx taeniolatus (common seadragon), 2161 nucleotides. RefSeq lists it as uncharacterized. Lineage: Eukaryota; Metazoa; Chordata; Actinopteri; Syngnathiformes; Syngnathidae. The transcript is spliced from 3 exons. The record is from RefSeq and is a predicted model, not a curated record.